RNAcentral lists this long non-coding RNA (1230 nucleotides) under Anser brachyrhynchus (Pink-footed goose). RNAcentral's name for it is "lncRNA (ENSABRG00000000406.1)". Lineage: Eukaryota; Metazoa; Chordata; Aves; Anseriformes; Anatidae. The record is from RNAcentral.
UUAUAAUAAUCUUUGGUAUGCUUGACCAGUGUUAAAAUUAACAGAUGGUUAUUGUACCAAAAGGGAGUAUUUUAAGCAAAUAAUUCCACUUAAAAAUAUUUUAAAACCCACAUUUUUCAGUUUAUACUGUUGGAGGUUAUAGUGGCAUGUUUGAUUAAUGAGCUGUUUUAUUGGUGAUGCAAAUAAUAUGUAAUGUCAUAAGACCCAUAUGUUGUAGAUUAGAGAGGUAUUAAACUUACCUUGGCACAAAGUGGAAUAUCUAAAAUAUCCCUCUGGUAAAAUAUAUCAUUCUAGAGGAACAAGAUAUGUUGGCAUUGCUUGUAUUUACAUUUUGACAAAUUACACAUCAUGUUUACUUAGCUUUAGUAUCCAAUCAAAAACUAUUCUUCCUCAUACUUUUGCUUUCUCUUUAUUUUUCAGGUUCCUCGUGCAAAUUCUGUUUGUGGUGGUCAGCAACUGUAUCUGAUAGCAGACUGCAUGUUACCUGACAGUUAUAAACAGAGACAUGAAGGAAGACAACAGUGUCAACAAUCCUGUUAUUUAUUGCCUUUUAUCUGGAAUGGUGCAAACAACAACAGAAUUAGGAAGGCAUGUGCAUGCAGGCCUCACCAUGUGAAGGAUCCUCAGCAAAACUCCAAACCACACAGAGAAAAUUCACUUGGCUCCAUGUUGCAUAGGAAACCUGAAUCACAGGUCACUGAUGAAGAGAGAGGAGAAAAGUGAUUGAAAAACACAUUCAGAAGCUGUCUACUCUUUCUAAGAACUGCAGCAACAUUACAGAGAGAGUAAGUGAUAUUCUUGGAUGAACAAUUUGAUCAGAGAAUAACAGUAAUGUUUUUCACAUUGACUCCUGUUCUUUAAUUGUAUUACAUCGGAUUAAAAAAAAAGAUUUUUGGAAGCAAACCGAGACAAUACAAAUAUGAAUGUUUUCAUCCUUGUGUCAUAUUAUACUAAAAACAAACCACAUGUUUUCUCCAAGAAUCAGAAUCAAGCAUGGACAUUUUUUCUUCUGAGUAUGGAAAUACUUUUGUCACACAGCCCCUCCCAUUCUGCUAUUAGCUAUAUUCACUGUAGUCUAUGAUUAAUGAGGCCUUGUGAUACCCAUUUUAACAAGGAAACAGGCCUGAGUAGGCUGUGAGGCUGUAUGCCAGUGAAGGUGAGAACCUGGGAAUCUUUGUUCAUGGCUUCCUCUAAAUAUUGACAGCAUCUUCCUGACUAGAGCUUGAUUUA